AGAGCAUUGAGAGGAUCUUUCCCUAGUACGAGAGGAUCGGGAAGGACGCAGCUCUGGUGUACCAGUUAUCGUGCCUACGGUAAACGCUGGGUAGCCAAGUGCGGAGAGGAUAACUGCUGAAAGCAUAUAAGUAGUAAGCCCACCCCAAGAUGAGUGCUCU
RNAcentral lists this ribosomal RNA (160 nucleotides) under Oryza punctata. Its description in RNAcentral is "rRNA LSU_rRNA_eukarya". It matches the Rfam family "Bacterial large subunit ribosomal RNA", at positions 2656 to 2814 of the family's 2925-position model. The record is from RNAcentral. Lineage: Eukaryota; Viridiplantae; Streptophyta; Magnoliopsida; Poales; Poaceae.